AGGAGGACGCCGAAGGUGGGGCUAAUGACUGGGGUGAAGUCGUAACAAGGUAGCCGUACCGGAAGGUGCGGCUGGAUCACCUCCUAACAGGGAGACAACAAAAUGUUUAAUUUUAUUAUUUUGUCACCUUAGGUCGAUCGGUAUCUCACGUUCUUAAUUUAUUAAGAAUUUCAUUUCCUAAGUUUUUCUAGGUCACACCCAUUAUUUUUCCUGGGCCAUUAGCUCAGGUGGUUAGAGCGCACCCCUGAUAAGGGUGAGGUCCCUGGUUCAAGUCCAGGAUGGCCCAUAUCUCUAUGUUGGGGGUAUAGCUCAGUUGGUAGAGCGCCUGCUUUGCAAGCAGGAUGUCAGCGGUUCGAGUCCGCUUACCUCCACUGAUUACCACCUCUUCCAUAAUCUGUAGAAAAGGAAAUGUUUUGAGUUGUGAUCAAAUUCUGAACGAAUCUAGCUUCCUAAUGAAAUCAUUAAGAUGCUGGACUCAUUGAUUUAAUUUCAUUGUUUUCAGAGAACCUUGACAACUGCAUAGAUUAUUUUAAAGACAAUAAGCAUCUUUAAUGAUGCAGAUUUAUUAUUUGUGCGAAUGCAUUAAUAACAAUUCUAUUAAGCUGAUGCUUCAAUUUUGAAGUUAUUGGUCAAGCUACAAAGGGCUCACGGAGGAUACCUAGGCACACAGAGGCGA
Molecule: unclassified non-coding RNA, 676 nt
Filed under: uncultured Prochlorococcus sp.
Lineage: Bacteria; Bacillati; Cyanobacteriota; Cyanophyceae; Synechococcales; Prochlorococcaceae
Description: partial may contain 16S ribosomal RNA, 16S-23S ribosomal RNA intergenic spacer, and 23S ribosomal RNA
Rfam family: tRNA (bases 299-371)
Source: RNAcentral